UAGAUAAUUCAAUGACGGAGACGGUGACACGUGUCGGAGUAUAUUCGUUCAUGGUUGAAACCGUCGGAAGUCGGAGCUGUAACAUCGUCUUUAAUCCCACAUUCAUUGAUCCUUAUCUCUUCAAGACGGUGUUUCUCAAUCUACAAAAAGCCCGCAACUGUUUUUCCGGUGUCGAGCUGUGUUUGCUCCGAUUCUAGGAAGCUGGAAACGUCAAACGUGGUAGACAUGCUCCUCCUUGAUUCGAAGGGUUUUCCGAUCUUUAAUCUUAUGACCAUAUUUGAUUUAUUGUUCUCAUUCAUGAGCUUCAAGUUUUAUCCCCAUACCUUCUAUGAAUCUCUUUUGGGUUAUUUACUUUGAGGCCGUUUGUUGAUUAUGCUCUCUUUUCACAAGACCCUCACGCCAGCCAUCGUAAAUGUUCACCGUCUCGCCGCUUUUAGGGACUGUCUCAAGACUGGUUCAAUGUUCACACCCUAGCUCCUUGAUACAGAUGUGGCCAAUUACUAGGUGGUGCAGGGUCCUUUCCAGUGAAGUUCGCAGCGACGGAUCUGAUUUGUUGUCUUACUCUUCUCGGACACACCAGAAAGAUGAGUGAGAAGGUCCAUCGUAUUCGGUACAUAUAUUCAGCGAAGAAUAUCUUUUUCUUCCUCCACGUCUAAAUCUUUGGAAUGGACGCCUGAGAGGAACCGAAUGUCAGCGCAUCCUAACAAUAUGGGCCUCUGCUAGAAGUGCAGAGUGCUGUAAAAGGGAAAGACAAAAGAAAAGGGCCAAGUAAUAAAGUGCUGAAAAUUGUAAUCGUUUAGAUCUUGAAGAGGGUGGACAUUAGUACCAUGACCUUAUUAGAGGAUUGUUGUUCCUCUGCGGGCUUCAUCAUGGACAUCAUCAAAGAACUUUGCUACGGAGUUCAAAGAUGAUCUCAUCCCAAGAAAGAAAUCUACAAAGCUAAUGAUCCAAAAUGAGCUCACCGGAUAAGCAGAAGCGAGGAUGAGGAGGAGAAGAAAUAAGAACAUGGUAUAAACUUUUGUUGUUUUGUUUUGUUUGAGUCUGAACUGUGCAAAGCAUUUUCGUUUUUGGUAGCAAGAGGAAGAAGCUGCAUAGCCAGGUAGGUUUUAUGUAUGUCUAUACCAUUUAACAAAACGCCUCCCUUAGAUCACCGUCUGAUUUGUGAGGCUCACUUUCGAACAAUAUCCGGUCGGAAUAAAUAAAGAAUAUGAUUGUCUUAUUAUAUAGGUUAUCGAGUUAAACAACUACUCACUAAUUUAAUCGUCUCUCCCUUUUAUUGCAGACUUUGUGGGCAAGACGUACUACUAUUAAACAUCAUACAUUGACAAUAGCUUUAUGGUUUGCGUACAUGACCUGUUCUUAUUUAUUUCUUCAGUUCGCUUAUAAAUUAAAAUUACUAUUUUUUUGCGUUUCUUCAUUAUAAACACAUUAAAAUUUGA
Molecule: long non-coding RNA, 1439 nt
Organism: Raphanus sativus (radish)
Lineage: Eukaryota; Viridiplantae; Streptophyta; Magnoliopsida; Brassicales; Brassicaceae
Exons: 6
Source: RefSeq, a predicted model, not a curated record